This 497-nucleotide ribosomal RNA is filed under the name uncultured bacterium. Its description in RNAcentral is "partial 16S ribosomal RNA". It matches the Rfam family "Bacterial small subunit ribosomal RNA", at positions 28 to 507 of the family's 1533-position model. The record is from RNAcentral.
GAUGAACGCUGGCGGCGUGCCUAAUACAUGCAAGUCGAGCGAACGGACGAGAAGCUUGCUUUUCUGAUGUUAGCGGCGGACGGGUGAGUAACACGUGGAUAACCUACCUAUAAGACUGGGAUAACUUCGGGACACCGGAGCUAAUACCGGAUAAUAUUUUGAACCGCAUGGUUCAAAAGUGAAAGACGGUCUUGCUGUCACUUAUAGAUGGAUCCGCGCUGCAUUAGCUAGUUGGUAAGGUAACGGCUUACCAAGGCAACGAUGCAUAGCCGACCUGAGAGGGUGAUCGGCCACACUGGAGCUGAGACACGGUCCAGACUCCUACGGGAGGCAGCAGUAGGGAAUCUUCCGCAAUGGGCGAAAGCCUGACGGAGCAACGCCGCGUGAGUGAUGAAGGUCUUCGGAUCGUAAAACUCUGUUAUUAGGGAAGAACAUAUGUGUAAGUAACUGUGCACAUCUUGACGGUACCUAAUCAGAAAGCCACGGCUAACCACGUG